This 372-nucleotide ribosomal RNA is filed under the name Simulium damnosum complex sp. SD32. RNAcentral's name for it is "eukaryotic LSU rRNA". It matches the Rfam family "Eukaryotic large subunit ribosomal RNA", at positions 22 to 390 of the family's 3401-position model. Lineage: Eukaryota; Metazoa; Arthropoda; Insecta; Diptera; Simuliidae. The record is from RNAcentral.
UACCCGCUGAAUUUAAGCAUAUCAAUAAGCGGAGGAAAAGAAACCAACAGGGAUUNCCUUAGUAGCGGCGAGUGAAGCGGCAAAAGCUCAAAUUUGAAAUCUGGCACCUUCGGKGUCCGAGUUGUAAUUUGAAGAUUGUAACCUUGGGGUUGGCUCUUGUCUAUGUUUCUUGGAACRGGACGUCACAGAGGGUGAGAAUCCCGUGCGAUGAGAUGCCCAAUCCUAUGURAGGUGCUUUCGAAGAGUCGAGUUGUUUGGGAAUGCACCUCUMAGUGGGUGGUAAAUUCCAUCUAAAGCUAAAUAUUGGCGAGAGACCGAUAGCGAACAAGUACAGUGAUGGAAAGAUGAAAAGAACUUUGAAUGAGAGAGUUA